RNAcentral lists this ribosomal RNA (396 nucleotides) under uncultured bacterium. Its description in RNAcentral is "partial 16S ribosomal RNA". It matches the Rfam family "Bacterial small subunit ribosomal RNA", at positions 338 to 729 of the family's 1533-position model. The record is from RNAcentral.
CCUACGGGUGGCAGCAGUGAGGAAUAUUGGUCAAUGGGCGUACGCCUGAACCAGCCAAGUCGCGUGAGGGAAUAAUGCCCUAUGGGUUGUAAACCUCUUUUGCCGGGGAGCAACGGCGGCUACGUGUAGCGGGACUGAGAGUACCUGGAGAAAAAGCAUCGGCUAACUCCGUGCCAGCAGCCGCGGUAAUACGGAGGAUGCGAGCGUUAUCCGGAUUUAUUGGGUUUAAAGGGUGCGUAGGCGGGGGGUUAAGUCAGCGGUUAAAUUUCGCGGGUCAACGGGGUGAAGUGCCAUUGAUACUGGGGGGCUGGAAGGGGGGAGACGAAGGAGGAAUGCGUGGUGUAGCGGUGAAAUGCAUAGAUAUCACACAGAACACCGAUUGCGAAGGCAUCUCAC